Molecule: ribosomal RNA, 497 nt
Filed under: uncultured bacterium
Lineage: Bacteria
Description: partial 16S ribosomal RNA
Rfam family: Bacterial small subunit ribosomal RNA
Source: RNAcentral
GAUGAACGCUGGCGGCGUGCCUAAUACAUGCAAGUCGAGCGAACAGACGAGGAGCUUGCUCCUCUGACGUUAGCGGCGGACGGGUGAGUAACACGUGGAUAACCUACCUAUAAGACUGGGAUAACUUCGGGAAACCGGAGCUAAUACCGGAUAAUAUAUUGAACCGCUUGGUUCAAUAGUGAAAGACGGUUUUGCUGUCACUUAUAGAUGGAUCCGCGCCGCAUUAGCUAGUUGGUAAGGUAACGGCUUACCAAGGCGACGAUGCGUAGCCGACCUGAGAGGGUGAUCGGCCACACUGGAACUGAGACACGGUCCAGACUCCUACGGGAGGCAGCAGUAGGGAAUCUUCCGCAAUGGGCGAAAGCUUGACGGAGCAACGCCGCGUGAGUGAUGAAGGUCUUCGGAUCGUAAAACUCUGUUAUUAGGGAAGAACAAAUGUGUAAGUAACUAUGCACGUCUUGACGGUACCUAAUCAGAAAGCCACGGCUAACUACGUG